AUGGAAUUUCAGACUCAGGUAUUCAUGACCCUGCUGUUCUGGGUAUCUGGUGCCAAUGCUAAUGUCAUGAUGACCCAGUCUCCAACUUCACUUGCUGUAUCAGCAGGUGAGAUGGUUUCCCUCAGCUGCAAGUCCAGUGAGAACCUUUAUUCAAGCACAUACAAGGCGAACUACUUGGCUUGGUACCAAAAGAAAUCAGGGCAAUCUCCUAAACUGCUGAUCUUCUAUGCAUCCCAUAGAGCAUCUGGGGUCCCUGAUCGCUUCAUAGGCAGUGGAUCUGGGACAGAUUUCACUCUCACCAUCAGAAGUGUGCAGGCUGAAGACACGGCAGAUUAUUACUGUGCACGGCAUUAUAGCUCUCCUCACACUUUUGGGGCUGGCUCAUCUGCAUCUUUCUUCAGUAGGUUCUACUGUGCUGCCCAGUCAGCUGAGUAG
Molecule: non-coding RNA, 435 nt
Organism: Rattus rattus (black rat)
Lineage: Eukaryota; Metazoa; Chordata; Mammalia; Rodentia; Muridae
Source: the annotation of a RefSeq genome assembly